This is a long non-coding RNA of Leopardus geoffroyi (Geoffroy's cat), 1408 nucleotides long. RefSeq lists it as uncharacterized. NCBI's taxonomy places the organism in Eukaryota, Metazoa, Chordata, Mammalia, Carnivora, Felidae. The transcript is spliced from 3 exons. The record is from RefSeq and is a predicted model, not a curated record.
UUGCAUCUUACUCAUGUCCUUGGAGAGACGGUUUAGAUGGAUGGGUGUUGGAGUGGAAGCUUCCAGAAGCCGAUCUUGUUUCCAAGGAAAAGAAUAUGCUUUCACUUUUUCAUGGUAUACAGUGGAUUGUUUCUAUGCCCAUUCCUGAGUCUUCCACAGGAACACAUAAUGGCUACCUGCUGCCACAACAGUGAAGGAAUUUUCCACUCUGAUAACUGUGAUGCUGUCUCAUCUUUAUGAGGUGCAGAGGGAACGAGUGUUUGCCUGGAAUUAGCAACUGUUAACCCAUCUUCUCCUGGGAGCUUAAGACUCAACAGCAGCCGUUAGCUGACAUUUACCGAACCCCUCCUAUGUGUGUGCAGCGCUGUUCUAGAACCUAGAGCUUCCGGGCUGUGGAAGUCACAGUUAUGUAGUCACGGUCACUGGAGUGGCCCCUGGGGAAGGUGGCAGGGACCAGGGCCAGGAGCAAGGCUCAGUCAGGGUCUCAGCAAGAGAGGGGUGCACACUCCCAACUGUGUGGUAUAAGAACCAGUUAAUAAAGGAACUGUCUACACAGACUGAGGCAGUGUCUGGGCGAAGCAAUAAGUUCAUCUAGAACAGUGACAGUGGCAACCAUUAACACCCCCAGGCCUGACGGGACAAGAAGAAAAAGUGCCACCAGAACUGAGAAAGUAACUUGGAACUGCUUAGUCAAGGUCAACAAGGACAAGACUUCAAAGGCUGGUAAAGCAAGGAAGCAACCCGGGCCCCUGGAUGGCAUCAUGGAACAGAUUUGCCUCUGUCUGUGGACCACCUGCCCACCUUCACACUAUUGUACAGGAGAGAAGUUUCAAAUAUUUGGGAGGCCCCUAAAAGGUGUAUAGGCUGUAGGCACUGGGCAUAGAGUGCCUAAUGCAUGCCGUAGACCAGAAUGUGUGAGGGACAAGGAUGCCCCCCCGCCCGCACUCCCACCUUGCCGACACAGAGCCCUCGGCACAAGACGGCAGACACUGAGCACUUCUCACGGCCCCGGAACCCUAGUCAUACUCUGUCCGUGUGCCCUGCCCCCAUCCUUCCUGGCCCCCCAGUUUCUGCCAUUGGGCUUUUGGGGCUGUUUUUGCCACAUGCAAGAGAACUAGGUCCUGGGAGUUUAUGCCCUUUCUACCUGGCUCUUAGCCAGCGACCAACUGGAAAGGAAUACAAAGGCCCAAGCCUUUUGCCACCAGUUGGGAAAGGCUCUGAGGUGUGGUUUCUACUCCAGAGCCUCCUUCCCCCAUCAGGCAGAUCAGGAGGAGGCUGGGAUUUGCCUGAGGUCACACAUUGCUUGCCUUCUUUCUCUUCCCUGUCCUGCUCCCCUCCCCUGCUCCCCUGGGAUCCUUUUAUCCCAUUCUUCCGGGAACAUAUUCUCAAUAAAUCCCUUGCACAUGAA